AGCUUUGCACAGUGGCAAUAUUGUAGCCAAUGAGGUUUAUCUGAGGUGCAAUUAUUGCUAAUUAAAUAACACUUUCCUGAACAACCAUUAGUUUACAGAUCAAAUAAAGGAAGAAAUUAAACAAUAUCUACAACUAAAUGAAAAUA
Molecule: small nuclear RNA, 146 nt
Organism: Octodon degus (degu)
Lineage: Eukaryota; Metazoa; Chordata; Mammalia; Rodentia; Octodontidae
Product: U4 spliceosomal RNA
Exons: 1
Source: RefSeq, a predicted model, not a curated record